AUGGAGCAAGUCACAGUCGUCGAUGCCAGCUUCUUCUUGAAAUCUACCCAGAAUGGAAUCCUGACAAUGAUACAGGACACACAAUGGGUGAUCCAUUCAUGUUGCAGCAGUCUACAAAUCCAGCACCAGGAAUUCUGGGACCUCCACCUCCCUCGUUUCAUCUUGGGGGACCAGCAGUUGGACCAAGAGGAAAUCUGGGUGCUGGAAAUGGAAACCUGCAAGGACCUAGACACAUGCAAAAAGGCAGAGUGGUCAGUAAUGAAUGAAGCUUUUGCUUUUACUGUAUUUACGAUUUUGGGGAAUAUGAUUUGUCCUAAAUCCUUACUAGUUGAAUAUGUAUCAUGGUCCGUAUGGGAUGAUUGCUAUAAUUUGAAAACCGUCAGGUUUUUAUAUGGCUUUGAUAAUAAUUAA
Molecule: long non-coding RNA, 411 nt
Filed under: Piliocolobus tephrosceles (Ugandan red Colobus)
Lineage: Eukaryota; Metazoa; Chordata; Mammalia; Primates; Cercopithecidae
Description: lncRNA (ENSPTEG00000008273.1)
Source: RNAcentral